ACCCGCUGAACUUAAGCAUAUCAAUAAGCGGAGGAAAAGAAACCAACAGGGAUUGCCUCGGUAACGGCGAGUGAAGCGGCAAAAGCUCAAAUUUGAAAUCUGGUCUCGUUUCGGGAUCCGAGUUGUAAUUUGCAGAGGAUGCUUCGGGUGUGGCCGCGGCGUAAGUUCCUUGGAACAGGGCAUCAUAGAGGGUGAGAAUCCCGUCUUGAGCCGCCGGACCGCGCCCGUGAGAAGCUCCUUCGACGAGUCGAGUUGUUUGGGAAUGCAGCUCUAAGUGGGUGGUAAAUUUCAUCUAAAGCUAAAUAUUGGCCGGAGACCGAUAGCGCACAAGUAGAGUGAUCGAAAGGUUAAAAGCACCUUGAAAAGGGAGUUAAACAGCACGUGAAAUUGUUGAAAGGGAAGCGCUUGCAACCAGACUCGGUCGCGGGGGUUCAGCGGGCAUUCUUGCCCGUGUACUCCCCCGCGCUCCGGGCCAGCAUCGGUUCCGACGGUUGGUCAAAGGCCCCCGGAAUGUAUCGUCCUCCGGGACGUCUUAUAGCCGGGGGUGCAAUGCAGCCAGUCGGGGCCGAGGAACGCGCUUCGGCUCGGAUGCUGGCAUAAUGGUUGU
This 607-nucleotide ribosomal RNA is filed under the name uncultured fungus. RNAcentral describes it as "eukaryotic LSU rRNA". It matches the Rfam family "Eukaryotic large subunit ribosomal RNA", at positions 23 to 641 of the family's 3401-position model. The record is from RNAcentral. Lineage: Eukaryota; Fungi.